Long non-coding RNA from Andrographis paniculata, 1224 nucleotides. RefSeq lists it as uncharacterized. The transcript has 9 exons. The record is from RefSeq and is a predicted model, not a curated record. NCBI's taxonomy places the organism in Eukaryota, Viridiplantae, Streptophyta, Magnoliopsida, Lamiales, Acanthaceae.
CUCCCCCUCACGCUGUUCUCCUCCCUCGCAUAUCGCUGUUCUCCCCCCUCCUUGCGCCGACAUGACCAUCAUCGUCAAAUUGGUUGGAUUGACAAGCUAUUCCGGCGCCGGCGUUCAGGUUCAUACGGACUAGUAGAUUUGGGGAGUGGCUUAGGGUAUGGCAUGAUUGCUUUCUCUUUGUUCAGUUCCUUGGGCUCCUGGUGGUUCUAAAGUUUUCCGAAACCCAGCACCACCUUCUGGAUCAAGGCGAAGGGGAAGGACCCCGACAAUUUAGAGAUUUGGAUAUCCAGUUGGAUACAAGCCAAGGGAGCAGACAAUUAACAAACCGAAGAUAUAUUGACAUAUUUGCAGAAUGAGCUAAACAAGAUUCCCUCGGAAGGGCGGACUCCGGCUGUUCGAGAGACUCUUUACUGACGGGCUAUUGGGGGAAAGAGCAAAAAGCGCUCAAAGGUUUACAGUGCCACGAGUUCAGCUCAUCCCCGUAAUGAUGCAACUGAUUUAACAAAUAAUGUAGCAUUCCAGCAAGGGUGGGAAGAAAUGUAGAGCGGAUUUGCAGAGUUGAAGACAACGAUGGCUGAGUUCAAAACCAUCAAGGCUGAUGUGCCACAGCUCGUGUUGAUACGGUCUCUGAAUUCUCAAGCCUGUGUCCGAAUCACCUAUGAUGGUUGGCACCCGUAUGCUUAUAUUAUCUCGUACCGGAGAGAAGAAAGUUGUUGCUGAGGGACUUCUGCUCUGCCCCCCUGCACCAGGUGACACACUUUCGUUGGUCAAGGUGUUCGUUACAUCUGCCUCAGUACCGGACACACCCCUUAUUUUGACGACAAUUGCUGGGGCGACUACUUUUCGGGUGGUUGUCAGUGAAGAUCCUAUUGAGUGGAACUAUAAGGACCUCAUGCACCACCCCUGAAGCAUAUCGACCGAUUCCUUUAUGUUUUGUCUCUGUUUGCCUUAUCAAUUGCAUGUCGUAGAUGUGCUUGGAUGGUAGGUUUUAAUGGCUAUGUGAAAUACAUAUGGAAUAUAUGCAUAGACAUUUAGAGUUAUUUUUUGUGUGGUGAGAAUUGUUGCUAUGGAUUGAUAGAUUUCCCCACUUGCUUAUUACUAGGUUGGAUGUUUGAAAUGGUUGCAUUUUGCGGAACAUAAUGUCGAAGCGGAGAUGUUGCUAGGCUUGUUUGAUGGGUUACUUUAUUUUGUUGCUUGGUGUUGGACAUCGACUAGUAAAUACUG